AUUGAACCCUGGCGGCAGGCCUAACACAUGCAAGUCGAACGGUAGCACAGAGAGCUUGCUCUUGUGUGACGAGUGGCGGAUGGGUGAGUAAUGUCUGGGAAAGUGCCCGAUGGAGGUGGAUAACUACUGUAAACGGUAGCUAAUACCGCAUAACGUCGCAAGACCAAAGAGGGGGACCUUGGGUCUUCUUGCCAUCGGAUGUGCCCAGAUGGGAUUACCUAGUAGAUCGGGUAACGGCUCACCUUGGUGACGAUCCCUAUGCUGGUCUGAGAGGAUGACCAGCCACACUGCAAGUGAGACACGGUCCAGACUCGUACGGGAGGCCGCAGUCGGGAAUAUUGCACAAUGGGCCCAAGCCUGAUGCAGCCAUACCGCGUGUAUGUAGAAUCCCUUCGGGUUGUAAAGUACUUUCAGCUAUUAGGAAGGUGUUGUGGUUUAUAUCCGCAACGAUUGACGUUACUUGCCGACGAAGCACCGGCUAACUCCGUGCCAGCAGCCACGGUAAUUCAGAGGGUGCUAGCGUUAAUUGUCAUUAUUUGGUGUAAAGCGCACGCAUGCGGUCUGUCAAGUCGGUUGUGAAAUCCCCGGGCUCAAUCUGGUAACUGCAUCCGAAACUGGCAGGCUAGAGUCUUGUAGAGGGGGGUAGAAUUCCAGGUGUAGCGGUGAAAUGCGUAGAGAUCUGGAGGAAUACCGGUGGCGAAGGCGGCCCCCUGGACAAAGACUGACGCUCAGGUGCGAAAGCGUGGGGAGCAAACAGGAUUAGAUACCCUGGUAGUCCACGCCGUAAACGAUGUCGACUUGGAGGUUGUGCCCUUGAGGCGUGGCUUCCGGAGCUAACGCGUUAAGUCGACCGCCUGGGGAGUACGGCCGCAAGGUUAAAACUCAAAUGAAUUGACGGGGGCCCGCACAAGCGGUGGAGCAUGUGGUUUAAUUCGAUGCAACGCGAAGAACCUUACCUACUCUUGACAUCCAGAGAACUUAGCAGAGAUGCUUUGGUGCCUUCGGGAACUCUGAGACAGGUGCUGCAUGGCUGUCGUCAGCUCGUGUUGUGAAAUGUUGGGUUAAGUCCCGCAACGAGCGCAACCCUUAUCCUUUGUUGCCAGCGAUUCGGUCGGGAACUCAAAGGAGACUGCCAGUGAUAAACUGGAGGAAGGUGGGGAUGACGUCA
This 1168-nucleotide ribosomal RNA is filed under the name uncultured bacterium. Its description in RNAcentral is "bacterial SSU rRNA". It matches the Rfam family "Bacterial small subunit ribosomal RNA", at positions 28 to 1187 of the family's 1533-position model. The record is from RNAcentral.